This 459-nucleotide ribosomal RNA is filed under the name uncultured bacterium. RNAcentral describes it as "partial 16S ribosomal RNA". It matches the Rfam family "Bacterial small subunit ribosomal RNA", at positions 338 to 795 of the family's 1533-position model. The record is from RNAcentral.
CCUACGGGUGGCAGCAGUGAGGAAUAUUGGUCAAUGGCCGGAAGGCUGAACCAGCCAAGCCGCGUGAAGGACGAAGGUGCUAAGCACUGUAAACUCUUUUUGUCAAGAGACAAAAUCAGGCGCGAGAGUCUGACCGAGGGUACUUUAAGAAAAAGCAUCGGCUAACACCGUGCCAUCAGCGGCGGUAAUAGGGGGGAUGCGGGGGUUGUCCGGAUGUAUUGGGGUUAAAGUGUGCGUAGGGGGACUGUUACGUCAGCGGUAAAAGCCCGGGGCUCAACCCCGGCGAGCCGUUGAAACUGGCUGUCUUGAGAUGUGGAGAGGUGUGCGGAAUGCGCAGUGUAGCGGUGAAAUGCUUAGAUAUAGCGCAGAACUCCGAGUGCGAAGGCAGCAUACCGGCGGCGAUCUGACGCUGAGGCACGAAAGCGUGGGUAUCGAACAGGAUUAGAUACCCCUGUAGUC